UCCGAUAUAGUGUAGGGGCUAUCACAUCACGCUCUCAAGUUGAGAACCGUGGAGACCGGGGUUCGAUUCCCCGUAUCGGAG
Molecule: transfer RNA, 81 nt
Organism: Yarrowia lipolytica
Lineage: Eukaryota; Fungi; Ascomycota; Dipodascomycetes; Dipodascales
Rfam family: tRNA
About the family: Transfer RNA (tRNA) molecules are approximately 80 nucleotides in length.
Source: Rfam